AUAAUAAACAAACAGCAAUACAAUUAUUUUAUAUGUUGUGACAUCAGCACCACUAAUCAGCGUAUGUGCCUUUAACGCUGCACAAUUCAAACAGCGCCAAACAUGGCAGAUGGUAACGUUAGUCGAGCUCCACAAAUAGUAUCGUUUGGAUACAAGGACUUUGAACUGGACCGUGUGAAUAAAAAAAGAUUUGCCAGAUGCAAAAUAUGCAACACAAGAGUAUCUGACACGACGACAACAUUAACGUCAAAUUUCAUUCGUCAUUUUAAGAACCACAAGGAAAGUGAGUGCUGAAGGUCACAGACCGAUGAUGCCAUCAGGACCACAUUAUCUGCAAAAAGCAGCGAUGAGAUCCCCAGCCCACCAAACUGCAACCCCUCCCCACCCCGACUACGCCUCGAUAUCCUGUCCAUAGAAGUUACAAACAGGAUUGGUGACUUAGCACAGCCCUGGCGGAGGCCAACCCCCACCUGGAACGAGUCAGACUUACUACAGAGAACCCGAACACAGCUCUCACUUUGGACGUACAGGGAUUGGAUAGCCCUCAGAAGGGACCUCCUCACCCCAUACUCCCGCAGCACCUCCCACAGUGUCUCCUGGGGGACCCGGUCAUACGCCUUCUCCAGAUCCACAAAACACAUGUAGACUGGAUGGGCAUAUUCCCAGGCCCCCUCCAGGAUCCUUGUAAGAGUAAAGAGCUGGUUGGUUGUUCCGCGACCAGGACGGAAUCUGCAUUGUUCCUCUUCAAUCUGAGGUUCAACUAUCUGCUAAACCCUCCUUUCCAGUACCUUUGAGUAGACUUUCCCAGGGAGGCUGAGAAGUGUGAUACUCCUGUAAUUGGCACACACCCUCUGGUCCCCCUUUUUGAACAGGGGAACCACCACCCCGGUCCGCCACUCCUUAGACACUUUCCCCGACUCCCAUGCAAUGUUGAAGAGGCGUGUCAUCCAAGACAUCCCCUCCACACCCAAAGCUUUCAACAUUUCUGGACGGAUCUCGUCAAUCCCCGGAGCUUUGCCACUGUGGAGUUGUUUGACUACCUCAGUGACUUCUGCCAUGGAGAUUGACGA
Molecule: long non-coding RNA, 1070 nt
Organism: Esox lucius (northern pike)
Lineage: Eukaryota; Metazoa; Chordata; Actinopteri; Esociformes; Esocidae
Source: Ensembl